RNAcentral lists this ribosomal RNA (519 nucleotides) under uncultured Bacillus sp. RNAcentral's name for it is "bacterial SSU rRNA". It matches the Rfam family "Bacterial small subunit ribosomal RNA", at positions 8 to 507 of the family's 1533-position model. The record is from RNAcentral. Lineage: Bacteria; Bacillati; Bacillota; Bacilli; Caryophanales; Bacillaceae.
AGAGUUUGAUCCUGGCUCAGGACGAACGCUGGCGGCGUGCCUAAUACAUGCAAGUCGAGCGGACCGACGGGAGCUUGCUCCCUUAGGUCAGCGGCGGACGGGUGAGUAACACGUGGGUAACCUGCCUGUAAGACUGGGAUAACUCCGGGAAACCGGGGCUAAUACCGGAUGCUUGAUUGAACCGCAUGGUUCCAAUCAUAAAAGGUGGCUUUUAGCUACCACUUACAGAUGGACCCGCGGCGCAUUAGCUAGUUGGUGAGGUAAUGGCUCACCAAGGCGACGAUGCGUAGCCGACCUGAGAGGGUGAUCGGCCACACUGGGACUGAGACACGGCCCAGACUCCUACGGGAGGCAGCAGUAGGGAAUCUUCCGCAAUGGACGAAAGUCUGACGGAGCAACGCCGCGUGAGUGAUGAAGGUUUUCGGAUCGUAAAACUCUGUUGUUAGGGAAGAACAAGUACCGUUCGAAUAGGGCGGCACCUUGACGGUACCUAACCAGAAAGCCACGGCUAACUACGUG